Molecule: long non-coding RNA, 2151 nt
Organism: Cynoglossus semilaevis (tongue sole)
Lineage: Eukaryota; Metazoa; Chordata; Actinopteri; Pleuronectiformes; Cynoglossidae
Exons: 4
Source: RefSeq, a predicted model, not a curated record
AUUUGAUCAGGAACUUAUUGGUGUAGUAUUUUACUGUGAUCAGCAGUUGGCCACCCAAUUUCACAAACUGCUGUCUCCCACUUAAAUAACUUUUCACCCAAUCCAGCACUAUUCUUUUGAUACCACAUUUUUCCAGUUCAUUAAUUAUGAUUUAUAUAUUUCAUAUAUAAAGAAACACUGAAGAAAGAUUUCUCUCAAUUAAUUGUUCAUCAUGUGUUCCUGAAACAGGGAUUUUUCUUGCAAGGUGAAGUCCAACACUUACAAAGAAUUCACUGCAUCUGUUAGCCAUAUCUUUCAUGUUAAAAUUUUUCAGUAUCCUUAUCAAUGCAAUAUGUAGGUAUAUUAUUGUAUUUAGAUCAAUUUAGUAUUUUCCAUAUUCCUUAUUUCUAAUAUCAUCUAUUAUCCUCUUGAAGUAAUCUUUCUUAAUUGCCCGUAUAAUAUCAGUUAAACUAUUCUUAUAUUUUUUUAUAUUUAUAUUCUGCCUCCUUAGUUCUUUGUCUUAUGAAAUCUUUGAGUAUAGAGUAUUUUUCUUUCUGCAGGCAUUUUUUAGACCUUUUGUGAUCCAUGGGCAAUUUGUAUAAGCUUGUUUUCUGAUAUAUUUUACAACAGGACAAUGCUUAUCAUAUAAUGAGGAAAAUAUUCUCAGAAACUUAUUAUAUCCAAGGUUAACCUCUUUUCUCACUAUAUAUUAUAUCCCAAUUAUACCCCAUUAAUUCAUUUUUUUAAUCUGUUCUUACUCUUCCGUGUAUUGUUUGCUUGAUUGACUUGUUGCUGUGACUGAUGUCAUAAACUGUAAACACUGGCAUUGGAUCAUACUGCAUAUUGUACUGAUACAUUCAUCUAUGUAAUCAAAUUCCUCCAUCUCUGUUUGUUGAUAUUUACUUAUCUUUUGUUUUUUGUUUGUUAUUUUCAGUAGUGAAGAUUUGUGUUUAGUGUUCAUGCAUCACAUGCUGAUGGCUGAUGCAUAUCUCCGGACCAGUGGGUGGCAUGUCUCAGUGGUGUUUAAAUCCACCUGAAUCCCCUUUGAGUGGAGGAAGGCAGCCACCUGUUGCUCAGCAGAUCUGUCAUCCGUAUCACUGGGCUCCAUUCCGUUGGCAGCGGUCACCACCCGGGCGUAGGACCGAGGUGUGAUGCGUAGCCCGGUCACGAACUCAUCGUUGAUCCAGGAAUAUUGCUCCAGGUCCGUGACUCUGUUCUCCAGCUCCACCAGCCGGUCCUUCUCGGCGUUCUGGAUCCGGAAAGCAUUCAACUCCUCCAGCAACUCCAGGAGUCCUCUCUGAUGCUGUUGAAGAGUAGAAAUCUCCUCGACCAGAAACUCCAGGGUCUUUUUUGAUCUAAUCUCCCUCCUCCGCUGUCAGAGCUUUCUUCGGCUGAAUGCUGUUGCUGAGUAACAGUGCCAAUCAGCUGUUAGCCAAGCUAGCGGCUCGCUAGUUCGCUAGUUCGAUGUUCUUAAUCCAGGGUCAGUAGGAAGAGAAGACAAAGAAAAGUAUAAUAUAGUCCAACACCGAGAACACACACACAACAAACGAGCAACCAGCUACCUGCCACACUUCGAACUGCGGAAGCAAGUGUUCUCUAUCCACCUUAAGCAGGAGGCCUACGUUUUCAGAAUCCAGUUUGACUUUUUCAGACUCUGGGGUCCAGACAUUGACUUGAGGCAUGGAAGUGUGAGAGUCACCAAAGUUUGAGCUGCUCCCAUAAUAAGGCACCACGAGUCCAUGUUGACAAUCAAGCAGCUGAACUACUUCCUGCGACGACUGGCAGCUCCCUUCUUGCUGCUGCAGAGCAAAAACUCAUCAAUACGGUUUCUGAGAGAGAUGACCUGAAAGACAAAGACAACUCAGUCUGUAGUGGACAGGACAGGACAGGACAGGAACUGAAGGACAUCAGCUUAACUCAGAUUGGUCACGUGUUGUUGUUUAAAAAACAGCAAUGAGAAAGAAGAAUUCCCUUAAACUUGAACCGUGAUGUAAAUAAUCUCAAACAUAAGGUGUAACAUAUCAUUCAGUUUAAUAAUAAAAUUAUGGAAAAUAGAGAGAAAAAAUGAAAUGGGAUGAGUCGUGAUGGGAUGAAAUGUAAUGACUUUACACCAAGUCAUUAGGAUGAGGUGAGGUGAUGACAUCAGACCAAGUCCCUGAGUUGAGACAGUGU